GACGAACGCUGGCGGCGUGCCUAAUACAUGCAAGUAGAACGCUGAAGGAGGAGCUUGCUCUUCUGGAUGAGUUGCGAACGGGUGAGUAACGCGUAGGUAACCUGCCUGGUAGCGGGGGAUAACUAUUGGAAACGAUAGCUAAUACCGCAUAACAGUAGAUGUUGCAUGACAUUUACUUAAAAGGUGCAAUUGCAUCACUACCAGAUGGACCUGCGUUGUAUUAGCUAGUUGGUGGGGUAACGGCUCACCAAGGCGACGAUACAUAGCCGACCUGAGAGGGUGAUCGGCCACACUGGGACUGAGACACGGCCCAGACUACUACGGGAGGCAGCAGUAGGGAAUCUUCGGCAAUGGACGGAAGUCUGACCGAGCAACGCCGCGUGAGUGAAGAAGGUUGUCGGAUCGUAAAGCUCUGUUGUAAGAGAAGAACGAGUGUGAGAGUGGAAAGUUCACACUGUGACGGUAUCUUACCAGAAAGGGACGGCUAACUACGUG
RNAcentral lists this ribosomal RNA (495 nucleotides) under uncultured bacterium. Its description in RNAcentral is "partial 16S ribosomal RNA". It matches the Rfam family "Bacterial small subunit ribosomal RNA", at positions 28 to 507 of the family's 1533-position model. The record is from RNAcentral.